GCCUCGAUAGCUCAGUAGGGAGAGCGUUAGACUGAAGAUCUAAAUGCCGCUGGUUCAAUCCCAGCUCGGGGCA
Molecule: non-coding RNA, 73 nt
Organism: Trichuris trichiura (human whipworm)
Lineage: Eukaryota; Metazoa; Nematoda; Enoplea; Trichinellida; Trichuridae
Source: Rfam